CGGGAAGGUGGGGAUGACGUCAAGUCAGCAUGGCCUUUAUGUCCAGGGCUACACACACGCUACAAUGGUCAGCACAAUAGGUAGCCAAGCCGCGAGGUGGAGCCAAUCCUCAAAGCUGGCCUCAGUUCAGAUCGCAGGCUGCAACCCGCCUGCGUGAAGCCGGAGUUGCUAGUAACCGCAGGUCAGCUAUACUGCGGUGAAUACGUUCCCGGGGCUU
Molecule: ribosomal RNA, 217 nt
Filed under: uncultured Fastidiosipila sp.
Lineage: Bacteria; Bacillati; Bacillota; Clostridia; Eubacteriales; Oscillospiraceae
Description: partial 16S ribosomal RNA
Rfam family: Bacterial small subunit ribosomal RNA
Source: RNAcentral